UGAGAUGCACAACUCCCCCCCUCUCCCCAUAUGCUCCCCUCACUGCCUGAGGCUGGAGCCAGCUGGAGUUGGUUGCAAAGCCCUGACCACAGGACCAAUGUUCAGGACCAGGGGCCUACAGCUGAGCCCUUGGAUCUGGCGGCUGGGACCCUGGGUGGUAGUGGAGCCCCCAGAAACCUGGAACCUAGGCAGCAGCAGAGCCCUCAAGUGCAGGCUGGCAGCUGGGAUCCCAGUUUUUGGGGUAGAGGCUGUGUCUAACCAUGAGUUCAACUGUGGUAGUGGCAUCAGUCCCAAGUAAGGUAUUUGAUAUGUUGGAUCCUUAAAGAAGACAGGAGACUUCCGGGAAGGCUCACAAAGGUACUGAUCUAUUUUCAUGGUUGAGAGACAGCUCGGAGGCAGCUGUUAUAAC
Pelodiscus sinensis (Chinese soft-shelled turtle) is the source of this 409-nucleotide non-coding RNA. The record is from RefSeq and is a predicted model, not a curated record. Lineage: Eukaryota; Metazoa; Chordata; Testudines; Trionychidae.